Peromyscus californicus insignis is the source of this 722-nucleotide long non-coding RNA. RefSeq lists it as uncharacterized. The transcript has 3 exons. The record is from RefSeq and is a predicted model, not a curated record. NCBI's taxonomy places the organism in Eukaryota, Metazoa, Chordata, Mammalia, Rodentia, Cricetidae.
GGGGCCUAGGCCUCAAAGGAGAUUCUGAGUCUUCUGCAUCCGGCUGGAAGAAAGAAGGAUAAGGGGCGCAAACCCACCCUCCCAGCCUCUCGGGAUGCUACGGCUUCCAUGGCUCCCAGAGCCCACUUUUCUCUGGCAGCACAGGGGUACCAAUGGACAUCGCUGCAGCAUCUGUCCAGACACACCACAGGCCCACUCCACCUCUGCCAGCCCUUUCCCCAGGGAGAAACAGCCUGGGAGUGAGCUAUCCUUGGAUUUGAACCCGAAGUCGUGUUGAACCAGAUUUCCUUCUUGCUGAAUGUGAUCGGUACUCUGCCAGGCCUGGAGUCUGCAGAGGCACACACAGCAUGUCCCUGGACAAACUGCUUAACCACCGGCACCACCGACGAUAACGGAACGUAUGAGUGCCUGAAGUGUUUGAUUGGGGCCUAGCAUAAUGCUGUUGCUCCUGAAGGGGGAAGGGACCUCGGGACAAACCUCAGCUAGAGAGGGGUCUGGAUACAUCCCUGUCACCCACUCCAGCAGCUCCCAAAACCAGCUGAAGAGAAGAGGAAGGCUGGGAGUUCCUGAGCCAGAAGGAGGCUGCAAGGAGGGAGCCUCUUACCCAACACUGAGAUGUUUAUAUCAAAGUUAUUCUUUUGCUGGCUCUGGGUUACGGUGCAAGUCCAGAUGCCACUGUCCUGAAUCCUUAGGUUGGGCAUGGAGAGGGUUUUGGAGCCCUU